RNAcentral lists this ribosomal RNA (207 nucleotides) under uncultured bacterium. RNAcentral's name for it is "partial 16S ribosomal RNA". It matches the Rfam family "Bacterial small subunit ribosomal RNA", at positions 568 to 774 of the family's 1533-position model. The record is from RNAcentral.
UGCGCAGGUGGUUGUGUAAGUCAGAGGUGAAAUCCCCGGGCUCAACCUGGGAACUGCCUUUGAGACUGCACGGCUAGAGGAUAGCAGAGGGGGGUGGGAAUUCCACGUGUAGCAGUGAAAUGCGUAGAGAUGUGGAGGAAUACCGAUGGCGAAGGCAGCCCCCUCGGGAUAACACUGACGUUCAUGCUGAAAGCUGGGUAGCAAACA